GCUUGCAUAUUCCAUUCAUCCCCCUGGUUCUUUGCAGGGGACUGCUCUUGUCGGCAAUCGUUUCCCGGGCUCUCGAAUUUACCUGCAUUUGGCACGGCCAGGGAUAGAAUAAGAAAAUGGGAACUCUACUGCACAUAUAUAUAUACGUAGAGCAUCUUGUUUGCUCGUUGCUUUUGCGGCAGGGAAAGGUGAGAUAGGCUUGAAAAACUGGCCCAAAAGCACCGUUGAAAAAUCGGACUAGAUAAACACUAGUACUAGUAACUACACCCCAGCCCGAUAUGGCUGCAGCAUGAUGUUGGAGAAGUUCGAUUCGACGCCGUUGGAAGUCAAUGACAGAAUGUUGUUGAGUGGCGUAAAGAUGAAUUGGCGAGGUAUUGUUGAAUAUGGAGUUUAAGAAGAGUUACCGGCAACAAGGGUGGAGUGGUUGUAUUCCCGUGUCCAAACGAAGGUGUUGUUGAAGGACGAGAUGAUGGCUUUGGAUCUUGUUGUGUUGGACACAAAAGGGGGAAGAGAUGGUGAGUAACUAUGUGACUUUUAUUUUUUAUUUUUAGCA
This 553-nucleotide small RNA is filed under the name Histoplasma capsulatum. RNAcentral describes it as "hypothetical RNA". The record is from RNAcentral. RNAcentral also lists the same sequence under 1 other name. Lineage: Eukaryota; Fungi; Ascomycota; Eurotiomycetes; Onygenales; Ajellomycetaceae.